Molecule: small RNA, 501 nt
Filed under: Pan troglodytes (chimpanzee)
Lineage: Eukaryota; Metazoa; Chordata; Mammalia; Primates; Hominidae
Description: processed transcript
Source: RNAcentral
GAUGGCUGACGACAACCCUGACAGCGACUCCACGCCGCGCACGCUGCUGCGACGCGUGCUGGAUACAGCGGACCCGCGCACCCCGCGGCGACCCCGGAGUGCUCGGGCUGGAGCCCGGAGAGCCCUGCUUGAAACGGCUUCCUCCAGGAGGUUGAGUGGCCAAACAAGGACGAUAGCCAGAGGGCGUUCCCAUGGAGCCAGGUCUAUUGGCAGAUCGGCCCAUAUUCAGGCCAGUGGGCACUUGGAGGAACAGACACCUCGGACGCUGCUGAAGAACAUCCUACUAACUGCCCCAGAAUCUUCCAUCCUGAUGCCUGAGUCGGUAGUGAAGCCAGUGCCAGCACGGCAGGUGGUCCAACCCUCCAGACAAGAGAGCAGUUGCGGCAGGUCUGCUGGCCCCUGGCAGGAGGAAACAGAGGCUGAGACUGUCAAUGUUUCAGCAGGGAGUGGACCAGGGGUUGUCUCUCUCCCAAGAGCCUCAAGGGAAUGCUGAUGCCUCUU